GUCCACGCCGUAAACGAUGUCAACUAGCCGUUGGGUUCCUUGAGAACUUAGUGGCGCAGCUAACGCAUUAAGUUGACCGCCUGGGGAGUACGGCCGCAAGGUUAAAACUCAAAUGAAUUGACGGGGCCCGCACAAGCGGUGGGCAUGUGGUUUAAUUCGAAGCAACGCGAAGAACCUUACCUGGCCUUGACAUGCUGAGAACUUUCCAGAGAUGGAUUGGUGCCUUCGGGAGCUCAGACACAGGUGCUGCAUGGCUGUCGU
This 261-nucleotide ribosomal RNA is filed under the name uncultured bacterium. RNAcentral's name for it is "partial 16S ribosomal RNA". It matches the Rfam family "Bacterial small subunit ribosomal RNA", at positions 793 to 1055 of the family's 1533-position model. The record is from RNAcentral.